RNAcentral lists this non-coding RNA (1577 nucleotides) under Cryptosporidium parvum. The record is from RNAcentral. Lineage: Eukaryota; Apicomplexa; Conoidasida; Eucoccidiorida; Cryptosporidiidae.
UUCACAAUACAAUCUUUAGAUCCUGAUGAAAGUCUUGAACCAUCUAUAGACCAGUCAAUAGUGUAAACUUCGUCAGCAUGACCUGGGAGAUCUUCCUUGAGUUUUUUAGAGCUUACGUGCCAAACUUUUACCGUACUAUCACUAGAAGCAGAUGCAAUCAAUCUGCUAUCCACUGACCAUGAAAUCAUAUAUACUGGACCGACAUGGCCCCUAAGAACCGCAAUAAACUUUCCAGAAUGUCCAUCCCAGAGCCUAAUAGUUUUAUCAAAUGAUGCAGAUGCAAUAUAUCUUCCGUCUGGAGAAAAGGCAACAUGGUUAACAACUUUUAAAUGCCCUGUUAGUCUAUGAAUUGGCUUUCUACCAUUUUCUCCAAGCGGAUCCCAUAGGAACAUAGUAUUAUCGUCAGAACCUGAGAGAAGCCUUUCAAACUUGCACCUUUUUUUAAAGUUAUCAACAGAUUGUUUGGCUGCAGCGAUCUUGUCUUGCAAGGAUUUGAAGUUUAGCUUCAGGUUUUUCCCAGUAGGGUAGUAACAAGCUGAUCUGGUAAUAUAAUCAGUAUUUAGGGCAAGAGUAUUAACCCAGUGAGCAUGGCCUUUCAAAUCUCUCAAAAGUUGACCAGUUUCUGGGUUCCAAACCUUAAUCAGCGAAUCUCUAGAAGAACUAACAACAUAUUCCUGGUUUAUUCCAGUCCAUUUGACAUGUGUAAUCAUUUCAGUAUGGGAUGACAAAGUAUUAAUUAUUGUUCCAGUUGUUAUGUUCCAAAUCUUUAGGGUAAAAUCCUUGGAUGCACUUAUUAAUUUAGGGAAAUACAAGUUGUUCGACCCUGAUUCUGUAGCAUUUUCCUCACCAUCAUUAACUUUAGUUUCAGCAGAGAAGUUCAUUAGAUGCAGAGGUUGCCAUGCUAAUGAAACUACAGCCUUUGAAUGUCCUUUGAGCUUUCUAAAUACCUUAUCACCCUUGGAUGGAUUCCAAAUGCAAAUAGCAUUAUCCAUACCUGCUGAUGCUAAUAAGGUAGAAUCUGGAGACCAAGCUAAAGUUAGAACCCAAUUUAAAUGGCCUUUUAGACACAUUUCAGGAGUUUCUGUAAGAAGAUCCCAGAGUCUAACUGUUGUAUCACCAGAUCCUGUCGCAAGUAAAUUACUAUCAGGACUAAAGGAGCAACAUAAAACUGCAUCUUUAUGGCCUUGUAAAGAACUAGUACACCUUGUGGCUGGUAAGAUUUUAAAAGGAGUCAUUGGAUAAUAAACAAUUUUGAGAACAUCUUCUGUAGAAAUUCCUCCUAUUUUAUCAAAUGUUUCGGAAAGUGAGAAUGAUACCUCCAAAUUUGAGUCAUUUAAGCAAAAACUAUAGGGAGUAUCUUCUUCAUUCUCCAAAAGUUGGUUAACCAAAGCAUUCAGGUCCCUUAAAUUGGUUUCAUCUAAGUUUAUAUCGAAUUCAUCGCCUACCUUAUUGCCAUCUGGAUCUAUAAAUUGAACAUUAACAUGGCGUUCCUGUUUCUGCUCAGUACCUUCUCCUGGGCUACUCUCUUGAUAUUCUGCUCCUACUCUUCUCCUCUUCAUAAGUUCCAUUUCUUCAGC